This is an RNA transcript of Helianthus annuus (common sunflower), 939 nucleotides long. It is a transcript of the gene named 2-oxoglutarate and iron-dependent oxygenase domain-containing protein ICU11-like, with no coding region annotated. The transcript is spliced from 4 exons. The record is from RefSeq and is a predicted model, not a curated record. Lineage: Eukaryota; Viridiplantae; Streptophyta; Magnoliopsida; Asterales; Asteraceae.
AGCGCCGCUUCUGUUGGUAAACCCUAGUUCACCGCAUCUAGGGCGCCGCAUCUUCUGCCUCCAGUUGACGAAAGUAUUGUACGGAUUCAAUGGGAACUGAAGAAUGCUGGUUAAAUCUUGAUAGCAUGGUGAUUGUUCAUAGGAAUCUAUCACCAUGCGGAAGAUGAAAUCUGCGAAAGUGAUGCAGGUGAAACAUUUUCAUGCGUGGGCCCACAACACGGACUCUAGCAUCUUGCGCCCGAAUACAGGGAAUGGAUACGGUGUUUCUCUUGAUGACAUUGGCAUGAAAGCCACACUUGAUAAGCUGAUGGAAGAUUACAUAAGCCUUAUUUCAAGAGUUUAAUUUCAGAUACCGAGUUCUCAAGAAACCCCGCAAGAGUCUACCCGCACACCCACCCCUCUUGCUGCUGUUCAACAAACACUGGUGGCAACUAAUCUAGUGACUGAUGAACCUCGAUCAACCCCUCCACCACUGUCUCUUGAACCCAGUGGAAGUAAGUCCUCUACUAAAGCUCGAGCUCAAGUUCAAGCUCGUAACGAUAUGCCUGGCACUGGAACCAGUAGGAAGAAUAAGCUAGACCGUUAUGCACCCAGAAUGACAGUUGAAGAAUUUGAUAGCAUCUUUAAGCGGUGUUCUUUCAAUUCUUUAAAAUACUAGCACCUACUAUACAUAAACUGAAGCAUAGAUGAUUUUAUUUAUGCGUAACAAACAAAUUCGUUCCUGCCGUGAUUCUUUGACUGUGUGAAUGAGAUGGUUACUCCAUUGUUUGAGAAAUCAUUGACUGCUACAGAUACCGGGACGAGUGGGCGCCUUGUGCUGCCAAAAAACUGUGCUGAGGUUAGCAUCAGUGGCUUGUUGACGUGGUUUCUGGAAUCCCAAGGAUGAAACUACGGGUGGUUGUGGACCCAACAAUGCGGUUUGUUGACGUGGUUUUUGGA